GGUAUUUUGCUCAGCCCAUUCCCCACUUCUGUGAGAUCAGUGCUGACACCAGUGAGACCAUUGGAGACAUAGGUACCUGAGAAUCCCACUCAAGCCUCAUGAUCUACUUCUGCUACUCCAGUCAUUAAUUACUACUGAGCUUUUGCCAUCUCAGUUGCCCAUCCAAGCUGCUGUGUUGUCUUUGCUGAAAGAGGCUGUUAACCAACAACUAGGACCUCUACAGCAGUCCACAAGGAAGAUUGGUAUGCCUUUACAGAAAAUGUAUUUGUU
Molecule: long non-coding RNA, 270 nt
Organism: Haemorhous mexicanus (house finch)
Lineage: Eukaryota; Metazoa; Chordata; Aves; Passeriformes; Fringillidae
Exons: 3
Source: RefSeq, a predicted model, not a curated record